AGCAGCGUAGCUCAGUGGAAGAGCAGGGCGCUCAUAACGCCUCGGUCGCAGGUUCAAUCCCUGCCGCUGCGACCA
RNAcentral lists this transfer RNA (75 nucleotides) under Rhodobacterales bacterium 56_14_T64. Its description in RNAcentral is "tRNA-Met". It matches the Rfam family "tRNA". From Rfam's summary of the family: Transfer RNA (tRNA) molecules are approximately 80 nucleotides in length. Their secondary structure includes four short double-helical elements and three loops (D, anti-codon, and T loops). Lineage: Bacteria; Pseudomonadati; Pseudomonadota; Alphaproteobacteria; Rhodobacterales. The record is from RNAcentral.